UACGAAGGGGGCGAGCGUUGUUCGGAAUUACUGGGCGUAAAGGGCGCGCAGGCGACUCUUCAAGUCAGGCGUGAAAGCCCCGGGCUCAACCUGGGAACUGCAUUUGUGACUGUAGAGCUGGAGUGCGGCAGAGGGGGAUGGAAUUCCGCGUGUAGCAGUGAAAUGCGUAGAUAUCGGGAGGAACACCUGUGGCGAAAGCGGCUCACUGGACCACAACUGACGCUGAGGCGCGAAAGCUAGGGGAGCAAACAGG
This 253-nucleotide ribosomal RNA is filed under the name uncultured prokaryote. RNAcentral describes it as "partial 16S ribosomal RNA". It matches the Rfam family "Bacterial small subunit ribosomal RNA", at positions 524 to 776 of the family's 1533-position model. The record is from RNAcentral.